Molecule: long non-coding RNA, 122 nt
Organism: Bufo bufo (common toad)
Lineage: Eukaryota; Metazoa; Chordata; Amphibia; Anura; Bufonidae
Exons: 3
Source: RefSeq, a predicted model, not a curated record
UAUAAUAGUAGGUAAUAGGUAAACAAUCAGUGGGGGACUGUAGGAGCCCAGCUGAAGUGCAAAAAUACCUAAAAACAUCUGGGGGGACCUUCAAUCCACUUUUAACAGUGAUUUAAAAGUUU